CUACCGGGCGACCGGAUGCGGAUCUCGAAAGCCUGUCCCAGUUCGGACUGGAGUCUGCAACCCGACUCCACGAAGUUGGAUUCGCUAGUAAUCGCGCAUCAGCCAUGGCGCGGUGAAUACGUUCCCGGGCCUUGUACACACCGCCCGUCAAGCCAUGGGAGCCGGGGGCGCCUGAAGUCCGGGACCGCGAGGACCGGCCUAGGGCGAAACUGGUAACUGGGGCUAAGUCGUAACAAGGUACC
Molecule: ribosomal RNA, 242 nt
Filed under: uncultured bacterium
Lineage: Bacteria
Description: partial 16S ribosomal RNA
Rfam family: Bacterial small subunit ribosomal RNA
Source: RNAcentral